UGUACCUGGAAUUAAAAGUAAAUAGCUAAGUUUAAGUGUAUUACUUACACUA
RNAcentral lists this transfer RNA (52 nucleotides) under Calophya californica. Its description in RNAcentral is "tRNA-Val". The record is from RNAcentral. Lineage: Eukaryota; Metazoa; Arthropoda; Insecta; Hemiptera; Calophyidae.